Molecule: long non-coding RNA, 302 nt
Filed under: Bos taurus (domestic cattle)
Lineage: Eukaryota; Metazoa; Chordata; Mammalia; Artiodactyla; Bovidae
Description: long non-coding RNA NONBTAT002729
Source: RNAcentral
AUAAAUAUUUCUAUACAAAUACUACAUGUAAUAGUUAAGUGGUUUAGCAUUCAAUGACAGUAUAUACGCGAGGAACUUAACAGAGCUACUAUGUGUUACUCAUUUUAACAAGUAUUUAUCUUGACUAGCAUUCAAUCAAACCAGUCUGAGAUAUUCCUAGAACAAACAAUGAAACUAAUUUCCUACAGAUAUAGGACUCUAACAUUUAAUAAAGGUGGAUGUAGAACCUUAAGCAGUUUCACUACCAUUUUCCCUUCAACAGACUGUUACACCCUACUAAUAAAAUGCAUGUGAAAGCCUCU